AAAUUGAAGAGUUUGAUCAUGGCUCAGAUUGAACGCUGGCGGCAGGCCUAACACAUGCAAGUCGAGCGGAAACGACAUU
Molecule: ribosomal RNA, 79 nt
Filed under: Vibrio splendidus
Lineage: Bacteria; Pseudomonadati; Pseudomonadota; Gammaproteobacteria; Vibrionales; Vibrionaceae
Description: partial 16S ribosomal RNA
Rfam family: Bacterial small subunit ribosomal RNA
Source: RNAcentral